Phacochoerus africanus (Common warthog) is the source of this 1264-nucleotide long non-coding RNA. RefSeq lists it as uncharacterized. The transcript is spliced from 3 exons. NCBI's taxonomy places the organism in Eukaryota, Metazoa, Chordata, Mammalia, Artiodactyla, Suidae. The record is from RefSeq and is a predicted model, not a curated record.
UUCAGGAGGUAAAACUCACCGAAAGUGUGGAGGGUCAUCCUGUGACUGAAUCCCUUGGAGUUUUUAUUUAUCAGACCUGUCCACCCUGAGCCUUCAGCAGUUUGUCAGUUGCAGUUCACGUUCCCCUAUCCCAGUAUUUGGUUCCCAUUAGUUUCUGCUCGGGCUGCCUUGGACUAAGAAGCUUCCGCCUGUGCCACACCAGCCGAGAUUGCCUGAGGAAUUGAGUCAGCGUCUUCCUGGAUGGUGCUGAAAGGCUGGAUUCCUAGAAGACAGGAAUUUAUGGUGUGAGAGCUCCAGCCCCCGCAAACCCACAGCCAAGGUCAACAGCACGAGGCGGGCAGCGCUGCCAAGCAAGGAGGGGAGCCCAGAAAACCAAAGUACAUGCAUUUAAAAAAUUCUCUUCUCUCCCUCACGUUCCCAAAAGGGGGGCUCAAGAAAGGUCUCCCAGCCUGGCCCAGAUGAACCCCUCACAGAGACAGAGCCUGUGAAGCUGCCGGGGAGGGGGUUUCUUGGGCCCCUGGAGGGUUUGAAAGUAGCCCCAUUGCUGGGUCCCAAGCAUGGCAGUGACCAUCUGGUCUUAGGGGGUGGUAGCGAGCUACCCUUGGUGCCCUCUCCUUCUGGUCAACCAAGGGCAGCUGAGGUGCCCUAAGCCCUGUCACAGAGGCCCCUGAGGUGGAAGCCUGAUUCACAGUCUCCCCUCUGCCAUCUUGGGUCUUGGGUCUUGACUGCCUGCCCAACAGUAAACACCCAGUGCCUGGGGCCAGGGCUCCCUGUCACAGGCUGUGGCCCUGGACUCUGACAACACAGGACAGGCUUGUUCCAGCCCCCUGUGGUAGCCAAGCGGAGGUGAGGAGAGGCCUGGAGACCACCUUGAUUCGAACCCCAAUGACUUAUGCUGGCAAGGCAGCCCCCCCCCCCCCCAUAGCCGUGAGCCCCUAAGAGUUUAAAUAUCCAUGUGUCACCCUCACACCUGCCACUCAUGGAGCCCCCUGGCAGGGCCAGGACCUGAGAAAGAAUAGGGUAGCGUCUUGCCCCAGAGUCACGCCUCCAAGUGGGGGUGAAGGGAAGGCUGGCAUGGAAAUGGGGGGUGACCAGCACGUGAGGGGCUGUGGGUCCCCCCCCAGGAGCGAAUGACCCAGGGCUGGGAGGAACAGCAUCGGUCAGAGAAAUCACGAAGGAGGCAGCCAGAGUUCACCAGGCGGACACAGAAUAGGAGAGGGGCUUAGAGGGAACAUUCCAGCCAAGUCUGCAGCAUGUGCAAAGG